GGGGAUGUAGCUCAGUUGGUAGAGUGUUUGCCUGGCAUGUACAAGCCCUGGGUUUGAUCCCCAGUACCA
RNAcentral lists this transfer RNA (69 nucleotides) under Neotoma lepida (desert woodrat). It matches the Rfam family "tRNA". From Rfam's summary of the family: Transfer RNA (tRNA) molecules are approximately 80 nucleotides in length. Their secondary structure includes four short double-helical elements and three loops (D, anti-codon, and T loops). Further hydrogen bonds mediate the characteristic L-shaped molecular structure. tRNAs have two regions of fundamental functional importance: the anti-codon, which is responsible for specific mRNA codon recognition, and the 3' end, to which the tRNAs corresponding amino acid is attached (by aminoacyl-tRNA synthetases). tRNAs cope with the degeneracy of the genetic code in two manners: having more than one tRNA (with a specific anti-codon) for a particular amino acid; and 'wobble' base-pairing, i.e. permitting non-standard base-pairing at the 3rd anti-codon position. The record is from Rfam by way of RNAcentral. Lineage: Eukaryota; Metazoa; Chordata; Mammalia; Rodentia; Cricetidae.